RNAcentral lists this ribosomal RNA (373 nucleotides) under uncultured organism. RNAcentral describes it as "bacterial SSU rRNA". It matches the Rfam family "Bacterial small subunit ribosomal RNA", at positions 527 to 896 of the family's 1533-position model. The record is from RNAcentral.
CGGGGGAGCAAGCGUUGUUCGGAAUCGACUGGGCGUAAAGGGCGUGUAGGCGGUCAAGUAACGUGGAAUGUGAAACGCCUCGGCUUACCCGAGGACCUGCAUCCCAAACUGCUUGGCUUGAGUAUGGGAGAGGAUGAGGGAAUUCCUGGUGUAGCGGUGAAAUGCGUAGAUAUCAGGAGGAACACCGGUGGCGAAAGCGCUCAUCUGGCCCAAUACUGACGCUGAGGCGCGAAAGCUAGGGGAGCAAACGGGAUUAGAUACCCCGGUAGUCCUAGCCGUAAACGGUGAUCACUAGGUGUUGGAGGCAUCGACCCCUCCAGUGCCGCAGCUAACGCAUUAAGUGAUCCGCCUGGGGAGUACGGCCGCAAGGUUG